GAGAAGAAGAUGGAAGGACGAUCUCUGUUCGUGAGAAGAUGAGCCCGCCAGAAUUUGCAGAAUAGCGGCUGUGAUUUUUGAGGUGGGGUCGAGGGAGGGCCGACGGUUGUAGGGGCAGGCGGCACCUGCGUAUGGUGGCGGGCGGCUGGUGGGGGGAAUUGAAAUUAGGGUUUGGGAGUGGGGAAGGUUGGGGAAGAUGAUGAUGUGGGUUUUAUUUUCUUUUUCUUUUUAAAUUUUUUUUCCACAUGUCAAAAAUAUGUCUAGCUGCCAAUUCUGGCUGCCACAUAUCAAUUCUGGUUGCCACUGUGUCAUUUCUAACGUCAGCGUAAGAAAAAACCGGUCACCGGAUAAAUUCG
RNAcentral lists this long non-coding RNA (356 nucleotides) under Salvia miltiorrhiza (redroot sage). RNAcentral's name for it is "long non-coding RNA (SMIL_LNC013003)". Lineage: Eukaryota; Viridiplantae; Streptophyta; Magnoliopsida; Lamiales; Lamiaceae. The record is from RNAcentral.